Molecule: ribosomal RNA, 253 nt
Filed under: uncultured bacterium
Lineage: Bacteria
Description: partial 16S ribosomal RNA
Rfam family: Bacterial small subunit ribosomal RNA
Source: RNAcentral
UACGGAGGGUGCGAGCGUUGUCCGGAAUCACUGGGCGUAAAGGGCGCGUAGGCGGCCCGGUAAGUAGGAGGUGAAAUCCUGAGGCUUAACCUCAGGGCUGCCUUCUAAACUGCCAGGCUUGAGCACAGUAGAGGCAGGUGGAAUUCCCGGUGUAGCGGUGGAAUGCGUAGAGAUCGGGAAGAACAUCGGUGGCGAAGGCGGCCUGCUGGGCUGUUGCUGACGCUGAGGCGCGACAGCGUGGGGAGCAAACAGG